GCAUAUAUCACAAAACAAAUAUCCAUUUCCGAACUUAACACACAAACAUUGUGACAAGUCAGGAAAUGAAGAAUAUUUCUGCUUUCUACACAUUCUCAUAAUUUUUCUUAUUUUAUCAAUGGAUACAUUGUGUGUAGAAAGCGAAUCCAGGAUCUUAAACAUAUCCCCUUUUAAAUUCAAAGAGAUGAAUUUUAUCAGAGGUCGCAGUAACAGGCAGAUUCUCGCCAAACCCUAUCCUUCGCCAGCUGCAAAUCCUCCUGGUCGUUUGUAAGAGACCUUUAACUGACUCUUUUCUGUCUUUUAUUACUGUUUUCUGAAAGAUUUCUCACAGUAAAUUUUCUUGUUGCACGCAGAGGCUAUAGUCCACCACCUAUGAGGAAGAAAUAAGGAAGCACUCAAUGAUGGACACAGAUCUAGGAUUCUAAGUUCAUGGUUCGACCUAAGAUAAUGAGUACUGAACUGAUUGUACUGAUUGUUUUUUAAAAUUACGGGGUUCAGAUUAUUACUCCAUCCGUUUUAUAUUGUUUGAGAUAGUUUGACUCGGCACGGAUUUUAAAAAAAAGAUUUUUAAAACUUGUGGUCUUAAAAGAUUAAGGGGUAAAAAGUUUGUGGGACCAUAUCAUUUAUGUGGCUAUAAAAGUUUCUCACUAAGGACAAAAAUUGUAAAAAUAAAGAGCGUAAAGUUGGAUUAUUUCCAAAUUUAGAAAUGUGUCAUUUAAUUUGGAACAGACUAAAAAGGAAAGUAUUUCAAAUAAUAUGAAACUAAGGGAGUAUAAGUUUAGUAAUUUUCACAUAUGCAAUUAACUCUCUUUAUAACAGUCAUGCGUUUUCCUAUUAUUUUGGUUUUUAUAGUGAAUGACUAUUAGAUACCUAGAACAACG
This 881-nucleotide long non-coding RNA is filed under the name Nicotiana benthamiana. RNAcentral describes it as "long non-coding RNA (NBEN_LNC016653)". The record is from RNAcentral. Lineage: Eukaryota; Viridiplantae; Streptophyta; Magnoliopsida; Solanales; Solanaceae.